This 230-nucleotide ribosomal RNA is filed under the name uncultured bacterium. RNAcentral's name for it is "partial 16S ribosomal RNA". It matches the Rfam family "Bacterial small subunit ribosomal RNA", at positions 15 to 230 of the family's 1533-position model. The record is from RNAcentral.
GAUCAUGGCUCAGGAUGAACGCUAGCUACAGGCUUAACACAUGCAAGUCGAGGGGCAGCAUGGUCUUAGCUUGCUAAGGCUGAUGGCGACCGGCGCACGGGUGAGUAACACGUAUCCAACCUGCCGUCUACUCUUGGCCAGCCUUCUGAAAGGAAGAUUAAUCCAGGAUGGUAUCAUGAGUUCACAUGUCCGCAUGUAAUUUAAAGGUUAUUUUCCGGUAGACGAGUGGG